UUAUGCAUGAGAAAGAAACGAAAACGUUUCUUUUUUUUUUUUUCGCUAGCUUCAUAAUGUAUAUUCCAGUUUGUUUUUGACUGUAUUAUUCAUAUGAAUUCUUCAGCGAUUUCCGUCCUUAUAGCGCAGGUACUGGACGUAGCUAGUCUCUGAUGUGCAGUCAACAAUUGGUAGUCCCUUCCUGAUAAAUAUGCACUUCACGUAGAUACAGGCCACAAAUACUACACGCUUGUCUGCGCUACACAAGUGUCUAUGCACACAUUGUGCAUAGACACGUAAUGUUCCACGUGCAAAAAGCUUCCCCCUCGCAUACAUUUUAUGUGUUUCGUAUUGCGGAGCAGAUGCCCUUUCUACAAACCACUUCCACACAAGUAUAGUCUCACGGGUUAAUGAGGCCAAAGUAUAGUGAGGCCACUAUAGCCAGAGCCCCAUAGCCGACAAAGCCCGCAUAUAAAAGCCCCAAAAGCCAACAUAUAAAAUUCGGGAAACCACCCGUAAGCACCAAAGCUACAUACGCGAAGGCGCCGAUGCGGCGUCAGUACCAGACCGCUACGCGCGAAAUCGCCACGGGUGGCGCUGUCGAUCAAGCGAACGCAGCGUCCUCCAGCUAGUGCACGGUGCCCAUAUGCCUGUCUGUCCUGCAUGGGAAGACCUUGAGUUUUGGGAAACAAUGCUGACCAGUGGUUGUUAGUGGAAUUUUGCAAUUUUGAAUGAUUCCUGAUUUUCGUCUUUUGUUGCUAUCGGUAAAGUUUGACUUAUGAUGACAAUUUUAUGUGUGUCGUAAAAUCAUGUUCCAGCAGUAGGAAUUUUGCAGUACGAACAUGUGUGGAAGCCUGAAGUCUUUUUGAAGGCUGUAAAUUACUUAUAGUAUUAUUUCCCAGGGAGCACACAAUGUCGGGAAAAUAUUGGGAGCGGACGGCAAAGAACCGGGUAUAUUGCCCGAUAUUAGGCGAUCAUGCGCCGUUCGAAAGAGAAGACGACAGAUGAACAGAGAAAGAAUGCGCCCACCUCCUUCUUCUUGCAUUCAGGCCAUCUGCGCGCGGCUAGCCUACUGCGUAUGACCGGCUUCUGCUGCGCAUGAGCAGAACUCUUCCGCCUGCGCUGCGUCGUUGACAUUUCAGAAGGAAGAGCGGGUAAACGCAAGGUGUGACAGGUGUGACGAUUGUGCCAGCGGAGGCACAGUAAGCGGGUUUCGCCGCCGCGACAAUAGUGUCGCCGCUGGCAUUUCCCGCCAAAUUCCGGCUAUUUACUUUCCAUUGGCUCCGGUCCCCCACGUGACCUUUCUCGAUCAUGAUUGGCUGAGGCUCAUUUAACCGGUGGAUUCGCCCGUGUUCGUUUCUCCGAGGCGCCGACCUGUCUGACCGUUGUGUAGCUGGCGUCUACGUAUGUGAGCAGACGGUGAUUUCGUUUCGUGGAUUUCGAAGAUGUUCGAGCCAUGGACGAACGCCUGAAUGAAAGACACCGACAGCUGUUCGUGGCCCUGCGAUCCGCGAGCAUUGUCCCCUGUCACCAGAAAAUUCGACAGUUGUGCUGGGAUGAAGCGGAUGGCUUCUGCGACUCAUCACGUGCUAUAUAUGUGUAUAAUAAUAUCUACUUUCUCCAAACCGAAUAGAUUUCCUUAAGGAUUGUAUAAUAUGAUAGUCAUGCUUUCUGUUGCUCGGCACUAUUUAUUCUUUAUUCUGCAGUAUUCUGUAAUAAUCGUGUAGAUUUACUUGCAUUCAAAUGUUGCUUCUUGUUUAUAUGUUUACCGUGUCAAUAAAUUUGUACAUGUGAA
Long non-coding RNA from Ornithodoros turicata, 1774 nucleotides. RefSeq lists it as uncharacterized. NCBI's taxonomy places the organism in Eukaryota, Metazoa, Arthropoda, Arachnida, Ixodida, Argasidae. The record is from RefSeq and is a predicted model, not a curated record. The transcript is spliced from 2 exons.